RNAcentral lists this ribosomal RNA (351 nucleotides) under uncultured bacterium. RNAcentral describes it as "bacterial SSU rRNA". It matches the Rfam family "Bacterial small subunit ribosomal RNA", at positions 32 to 361 of the family's 1533-position model. The record is from RNAcentral.
AAUCAACGCUGGCGGCGUGCCUCAGACAUGCAAGUCGAACGCGAAAGUCCCCUUCGGGGGACAAGUAGAGUGGCGCACGGGUGAGUAACACGUAGGUAAUCUACCUUCGGAUGGGGAAUAACAACCGGAAACGGUUGCUAAUACCGCAUAAUGCAGCGGCACCUAAUGGUGACAGUUGUUAAAGCGGGGGAGUCGAAAGACCUCGCGUCUGAAGAGGAGCCUGCGGCGGAUUAGCUAGNGGUAAGGUAAUGGCUUACCAAGGCGACGAUCCGUAGCCGGCCUGAGAGGGGCGGUCGGCCACACUGACACUGACAUACGGGUCAGACUCCUACGGGAGGCAGCAGUCGGGAA